Long non-coding RNA from Andrographis paniculata, 266 nucleotides. RefSeq lists it as uncharacterized. The record is from RefSeq and is a predicted model, not a curated record. The transcript is spliced from 2 exons. Lineage: Eukaryota; Viridiplantae; Streptophyta; Magnoliopsida; Lamiales; Acanthaceae.
UGAAGUUUUUAGUUUGCUCACAUCCAAAAUUCUCCUAAGGUUGUUCCUAUUUUUUCGUGCUCGAUCGAUAAGGAUAACUUGUGAAUUUAGGUGGCUUGGUGUUGAGGCCUACCAAUUUCUCCAUUAUGUGGUGUUGCCUCAUAAGAAGACUUGAAGUUGGGGUGAAGAGGGCAGUGAUUUGAGCCGACAAAAUGUGCCAUAUAUAUUGUUAAAAUCAUAGCACCAUUUUAUUCUUCAUAAUUUAAUUAUUAUUUUGAUUUGAUUAA